Molecule: ribosomal RNA, 1556 nt
Filed under: Enterobacter hormaechei
Lineage: Bacteria; Pseudomonadati; Pseudomonadota; Gammaproteobacteria; Enterobacterales; Enterobacteriaceae
Description: bacterial SSU rRNA
Rfam family: Bacterial small subunit ribosomal RNA
Source: RNAcentral
UUAAAUUGAAGAGUUUGAUCAUGGCUCAGAUUGAACGCUGGCGGCAGGCCUAACACAUGCAAGUCGAACGGUAACAGGAAGCAGCUUGCUGCUUUGCUGACGAGUGGCGGACGGGUGAGUAAUGUCUGGGAAACUGCCUGAUGGAGGGGGAUAACUACUGGAAACGGUAGCUAAUACCGCAUAACGUCGCAAGACCAAAGAGGGGGACCUUCGGGCCUCUUGCCAUCGGAUGUGCCCAGAUGGGAUUAGCUAGUAGGUGGGGUAACGGCUCACCUAGGCGACGAUCCCUAGCUGGUCUGAGAGGAUGACCAGCCACACUGGAACUGAGACACGGUCCAGACUCCUACGGGAGGCAGCAGUGGGGAAUAUUGCACAAUGGGCGCAAGCCUGAUGCAGCCAUGCCGCGUGUAUGAAGAAGGCCUUCGGGUUGUAAAGUACUUUCAGCGGGGAGGAAGGCGAUAAGGUUAAUAACCUUGUCGAUUGACGUUACCCGCAGAAGAAGCACCGGCUAACUCCGUGCCAGCAGCCGCGGUAAUACGGAGGGUGCAAGCGUUAAUCGGAAUUACUGGGCGUAAAGCGCACGCAGGCGGUCUGUCAAGUCGGAUGUGAAAUCCCCGGGCUCAACCUGGGAACUGCAUUCGAAACUGGCAGGCUAGAGUCUUGUAGAGGGGGGUAGAAUUCCAGGUGUAGCGGUGAAAUGCGUAGAGAUCUGGAGGAAUACCGGUGGCGAAGGCGGCCCCCUGGACAAAGACUGACGCUCAGGUGCGAAAGCGUGGGGAGCAAACAGGAUUAGAUACCCUGGUAGUCCACGCCGUAAACGAUGUCGACUUGGAGGUUGUGCCCUUGAGGCGUGGCUUCCGGAGCUAACGCGUUAAGUCGACCGCCUGGGGAGUACGGCCGCAAGGUUAAAACUCAAAUGAAUUGACGGGGGCCCGCACAAGCGGUGGAGCAUGUGGUUUAAUUCGAUGCAACGCGAAGAACCUUACCUACUCUUGACAUCCAGAGAACUUUCCAGAGAUGGAUUGGUGCCUUCGGGAACUCUGAGACAGGUGCUGCAUGGCUGUCGUCAGCUCGUGUUGUGAAAUGUUGGGUUAAGUCCCGCAACGAGCGCAACCCUUAUCCUUUGUUGCCAGCGGUUAGGCCGGGAACUCAAAGGAGACUGCCAGUGAUAAACUGGAGGAAGGUGGGGAUGACGUCAAGUCAUCAUGGCCCUUACGAGUAGGGCUACACACGCGUGCUACAAUGGCGCAUACAAAGAGAAGCGACCUCGCGAGAGCAAGCGGACCUCAUAAAGUGCGUCGUAGUCCGGAUUGGAGUCUGCAACUCGACUCCAUGAAGUCGGAAUCGCUAGUAAUCGUGGAUCAGAAUGCCACGGUGAAUACGUUCCCGGGCCUUGUACACACCGCCCGUCACACCAUGGGAGUGGGUUGCAAAAGAAGUAGGUAGCUUAACCUUCGGGAGGGCGCUUACCACUUUGUGAUUCAUGACUGGGGUGAAGUCGUAACAAGGUAACCGUAGGGGAACCUGCGGUUGGAUCACCUCCUUACCUUAAAGAA